Molecule: transfer RNA, 77 nt
Filed under: Verrucomicrobiota bacterium
Lineage: Bacteria; Pseudomonadati; Verrucomicrobiota
Also listed under: 1 other name
Description: tRNA-Arg
Rfam family: tRNA
About the family: Transfer RNA (tRNA) molecules are approximately 80 nucleotides in length. Their secondary structure includes four short double-helical elements and three loops (D, anti-codon, and T loops).
Source: RNAcentral
GCGCCCGUAGCUCAGAUGGAUAGAGCAGCUGCCUUCUAAGCAGCGGGUCGGGAGUUCGAAUCUCCCCGGGCGCGCCA